Molecule: ribosomal RNA, 519 nt
Filed under: uncultured eukaryote
Lineage: Eukaryota
Description: bacterial SSU rRNA
Rfam family: Eukaryotic small subunit ribosomal RNA
Source: RNAcentral
AGGGCACCACCAGGAGUGGAGCCUGCGGCUUAAUUUGACUCAACACGGGAAAACUUACCCGGCCCGGACACUGAAAGGAUUGACAGAUUGAUAGCUUUUUCUUGAUUCGGUGGAUGGUGGUGCAUGGCCGUUCUUAGUUGGUGGAGCGAUCUGUCUGGUUAAUUCCGAUAACGAACGAGACUCUAGCCUAUUAAAUAGCCGUAAUGCUCGAUGCGCAUUACGGGUUCCUUCUUAAAGGGACAAGGUGUUUUGAGCACCACAAAACAGAGCAAUAACAGGUCUUUGAUGCCCUUAGAUGUCCGGGGCCGCACGCGCGCUACAAUGAAGAAACGAGCGUGUAGUUUUCCUUGUCUGAAAAGACUGGGUAACCCCUUUAAUCUUCUUCAUGAUUGGGAUUGGGGCUUGCAAUUGUUCCCCUUGAACGAGGAAUUCCCAGUAAGCGCUAGUCAUCAGCUAGUGCUGAUUACUUCCCUGCCCUUUGUACACACCGCCCGUCGCUACUACCGAUUGAAUGGUUUA